Canis lupus familiaris (dog) is the source of this 1855-nucleotide long non-coding RNA. RefSeq lists it as uncharacterized. NCBI's taxonomy places the organism in Eukaryota, Metazoa, Chordata, Mammalia, Carnivora, Canidae. The transcript has 2 exons. The record is from RefSeq and is a predicted model, not a curated record.
CUCUUUCUCUCUCUCUUUCUCUGUCUAUCAUGAAUAAAUAAAUAAAAUCUCUAAAAAAAAACUACAGAAAUUAAGACAGUAUGAUACUGGUACAAGUUUAGACAAAUAGAAUAAUGGUCUGGAUUAGAAAAUCUAGAAACUAGAGCCAUACAUGUACAGUCUGUUGUUUAUAACAGUCUCCACUGUGGUAUGUGGGGGGAAAGGAGGCCUUUUCAUUUACUCGUGCUGGGACAAAUCUGUCAUCUGGAAAAUAAUAAAAGCUGAUGCCAACCUUACACCAUACCCAAAAUAUUACUUAAAAUGGAUCAUAGACCUAAAUGUGAACAGCAAAAUAAUAAAACUUUGAGAAGAAAACAUAGAAUACCUUCAUGACCUUAAGGUAAGGACUUUGAACAUCAUACAAUAAGCAAUAACUGGCAAAAAGAUAGAUAAAUUGGACUUAAUUAAAAUUAACUAACAGACACCACUAAGAAUAAAAAGGCAGGCCAUGUACUGGGAGAAGAUACUUGGCAACAAUACAUGUGGUAAAGAAUUCUGUGGCAUCUGUGAAGUUACUUUGCUCAGAGCUCCCUUCUAGAGAGGCUCUACCUCAGCUUGCAAGUGAAGGCCACGUUUCCUUGGAAGCACCUAUCCAAUUAUGAACACAGUUGUGGGACAAAGGCUCGCUAUUUCUAGCCAGUACAGGACUUCUCUAUGGGGAGUCAUGUCAGAACUCCUUAUUGGGCUGGCUGAGAAUUUCUUAGACAUGCAUGCCAGUCUGAUUCUAUUCCUACCCAGUUCUCUUUCCAUUUCCCUUUUCACAGGUGUCAGAACUGUAUCUGAAGACUCUUCCUGCCUAUUCCUUCUCUCUCUCCCCAUUAUAUUUCAUAGGUAUUACCCUGAAUAUAUCCCUUGCAUUGAUCAUUUCAUAUUGGUAUCUGCCUCCCCCAGGACCCAGCUGAUCUACUCAUUCACUCUAAAAAUCAGUAAGAAAAAGAUAACUCAACUUUUUAAGUAAGGAAAAAACUCCGAAAGGCACUUUACAAAAGAGGAUCACCAAAUGACUAAUAAGCGUAUAAAACGGUGCUCAGUCAAAAGGGAAAUGUGUACAAAAAUCAUAAUAAAAUAUUGCUACACCUUCAUCAGAAUGGCUAAAAUUAAAAGGACGAUACCAAGUGUUUGUGAGAAUGUGAAACAAAUGGAAUUCCCUUAAAUUUUUUGUGGGAAUAUAAAUUGGUACAAUAACUUCGGAAAAUUGGUAGUACCUACUAAUCCUAAAAUAAUAAGUAUCGUAUGUUCCAAGAGUACCACUCUUAGAUAUAUACCUAACAGAAAUAAGUACUUUUUUAUCAAAACGUGGGUGAGAAUAUUGAAGGCAUCUUUAUUCUACACGGCAAUAUGAAAACAAAUGUUCAUCAACAACAGAAUACAUAAACUGUUAUAUUCAUACCAUGGAUUUCUCUCCAGUUAUAAAAAGGAAUGUAUUAUUGCCACAGAACAACACGGAUGAAUCUUAUAAAUGAAAAUCUACACACAAAAGAGUACAUACCAUAUGACUCCAUUCAUAAGUGUGCCUUGGAGAUACUAUGGAUUUGGUUCCAGACAACCACAAUAAAGCAAAUACUGCAAUAAACAGUCUUCAUGGCAUCUUCAUCAGGAGUAGAAUCCAUCUCGAGAAACUACUUUCUUUGCUCAUCCUUAAAAAGCAACUCCUCAUCCGUUAGAGUUCUACCAUGAGACUGCAGCAUUUAGUUACAUCUUCAGGCUUCACAUCCAGUUCUGCUAUUUUCACCACAUCUGCAGUUCCUUCCUACGUUGAUGUCUUGAACCUCUCAAACUCUUCCAUGAGGAUUGGAAUAAACUUCUUCCAAACUCA